RNAcentral lists this ribosomal RNA (496 nucleotides) under Yarrowia lipolytica. Its description in RNAcentral is "eukaryotic LSU rRNA". It matches the Rfam family "Eukaryotic large subunit ribosomal RNA", at positions 37 to 513 of the family's 3401-position model. The record is from RNAcentral. Lineage: Eukaryota; Fungi; Ascomycota; Dipodascomycetes; Dipodascales.
UGCAUAUCAAUAAGCGGAGGAAAAGAAACCAACAGGGAUUGCCUCAGUAACGGCGAGUGAAGCGGCAAAAGCUCAAAUUUGAAACCCUCGGGAUUGUAAUUUGAAGAUUUGGCAUUGGAGAAAGCUAACCCAAGUUGCUUGGAAUAGUACGUCAUAGAGGGUGACAACCCCGUCUGGCUAACCGUUCUCCAUGUAUUGCCUUAUCAAAGAGUCGAGUUGUUUGGGAAUGCAGCUCAAAGUGGGUGGUAAACUCCAUCUAAAGCUAAAUACUGGUGAGAGACCGAUAGCGAACAAGUACUGUGAAGGAAAGGUGAAAAGAACUUUGAAAAGAGAGUGAAAUAGUAUGUGAAAUUGUUGAUAGGGAAGGAAAUGAGUGGAGAGUGGCCGAGGUUUCAGCCGCCCCUCGUGGGCGGUGUACUGCCGACGCCGAGUCAUCGAUAGCGAGACGAGGGUUACAAAUGGGAGCGCCUUCGGGCGUUCUCCCCUAACCCUCCAC